GGGUUGUGAGGUUAAGCGACUAAGCGUACACGGUGGAUGCCCUGGCAGUCAGAGGCGAUGAAGGACGUGCUAAUCUGCGAUAAGCGUCGGUAAGGUGAUAUGAACCGUUAUAACCGGCGAUUUCCGAAUGGGGAAACCCAGUGUGAUUCGUCACACUAUCAUUAACUGAAUCCAUAGGUUAAUGAGGCGAACCGGGGGAACUGAAACAUCUAAGUACCCCGAGGAAAAGAAAUCAACCGAGAUUCCCCCAGUAGCGGCGAGCGAACGGGG
This 270-nucleotide ribosomal RNA is filed under the name Escherichia coli. Its description in RNAcentral is "partial 23S ribosomal RNA". It matches the Rfam family "Bacterial large subunit ribosomal RNA", at positions 1 to 262 of the family's 2925-position model. Lineage: Bacteria; Pseudomonadati; Pseudomonadota; Gammaproteobacteria; Enterobacterales; Enterobacteriaceae. The record is from RNAcentral.